Molecule: ribosomal RNA, 497 nt
Filed under: uncultured bacterium
Lineage: Bacteria
Description: partial 16S ribosomal RNA
Rfam family: Bacterial small subunit ribosomal RNA
Source: RNAcentral
GAUGAACGCUGGCGGCGUGCCUAACACAUGCAAGUCGAACGGACAGACCCUGAGCUUGUUCCGUUCACGUUAGCGGCAGGCGGGUGAGUAACGCGUGGAUCACCUACUUAUAUUUCGGGGAUAAUUACGGGAAACCGGCUCUAAUACCGGAUGAUAUAUUGAACCGCGGUGUGCAAUGGUAAAAUUCGGUUUUGGUGGCUGGUAUAGAGGGUUCCGGGCUGCUUUAGCUAGUUGGUAGGGUCACGGCUUACCAAGGCAACGAUGCGUAACCGACCGGAGAGGGUGAUCGGCCACAUGAGAACUGGGACACGGUCCAGACUACUAAGGUAGGCAGCAGUAGGGAAUGGGCGGCAAUGGGCGAAAGCCUGACGCAGCAAGACCGCGUGAGUGAUGAAGGUCUUCGGAUCGUAAAACCCUGUUAUUAGGGAAGAACAGCUGUGUAAGAAGACAUGGACGUCUUGACGGUACCUAAUCAAAAAGCACCGGCUAACUACGUG